CCUUCCCAGCCUGUUGGUCCUCCUCUUCCUUUCCUGCUGCCCCCUCUCAAGUUCUAAGGCUUUGUUAUGACAGAUUCCAGAACUUCCGUGGACUAUAUUCCCUUUGUCUGCUUAAUUCUGAUAAACCUGAGUUACACAGUUCCUCAGAGACCCUCUGCAUCUUUGUCUACGAGGGCCUCCCUGACACCCAAGUUCAUACUGCUCAGAAACAGUAAGCUUGAGUUGUUUUAUCUUGGCCUCCCUCUGACAAAGGAAUCCAGAUGACGUGGAACCCACUGAAGGCAGUACCUGGAAAAUGGCAGUCCUGGAAAUAACUCUGGCCAUCAUCCUGACUCUGCUGGCACUUGCCAUUCUGGCCAUUUUGUUAACAAGAUGGACGCGACGCAGGCAAAAUGAAAUGUAUAUGUCCAGAUACAGUUCAGAACAAAGUUUUAGGCUUCUGGACUAUGAAGACGGCACAGGUUCAUCCUCUAGGAGACCUAAAAAAGGAAGAGGAUGCCGGCAACCAUAUUUAACAGAAAGUGAAGACUCCAGAGGAAAAUACACACCAUCAGCCAGCUCCGGAGGACUAUCUCGGUCAAGUAUUGCACUAUCUCGAUCAAAUACUGGUGAGGCACAGCAUUUAAAAGCAACUCAACCUCUAUCCAGCACUCCAGGAUCUAUCACUGGAGCUAUUGGACCUAUAAUGCAAUUCUCAGCACCUAUCCCUGGAGCUACUGGACCUAUCAAGCUCUCUCAAAAAACCAUUGAUGGAAAGACCAAGUGCUUCCGCUGCCUCAUUAUCCCACCCAGAACUCCCAUAGGUUGGAGUCACCCAGGUGCUACAACAAACAGAUAAUAACUAUGAAGCUGAAAUACAAAAUGAAAAAAUAAUCCCCUACAGGCAUGGUCCUUCCUGAGCUAUUCCCAUUUAGUUUUUCAGAGCCAAUAAUUAAUAAAGAUUUAGAAUACUGCACCUAAACUUGAUUUAUGUGCAAAUAUUUUUUUCACUACUAGAUUAUCUUUACUUUGUAAAAUAAUGCAAAUUUUAAGUGUCUUUUCAUUUGUAAUUUUUCUAAAAAGUUUUCUCCUUAACAGGUAGGUUUUAUUCUCACCAACUUUUAAUAACUUGCCCUACUACAUUUUUCCAUAGAAAUGUUAUAAAUAAUGGUUAGACUGCAAAUUGCAGUUGUUCAUAAUUAUUUUGUUGGAUCUACCCAAUAUUCCAAUACUGAGGGAAGACAGGUGUAUACUCUAAAUACACUCAUAUUUAGAGUAAUGAACAAUGAAGUUGGGAUUGAAGUUUUACUGUUAGUUUUGUCCGCUAUCACUUUUGAGCAUUACAGUGAGCUAGUAACAGUGAAUAGAAUAAUGUUGGAAUUCAAAAAGGAAAAAAGGCCUAGGGGGGUUGGGGAUAUAACUCAGUGGCACAGCACCUGCCUGGCAAGCAUAAGGUCCUGAGUUUGAUUUCUGGCACCAAAAAAAAAAAAAAGAAAAAAACAAAAAGGCCUAAGGGAAAAAAAGUAAGAGAAAAGCAACACGAAAUGUAAGACAGAAAAUGAAGAUGCUGGUUAAAGCGAGAAAACACGAAGGAAAUAAAAAAUUAAAAAUGAGUCAGAUGUGGUUAACCAUGCCUGUAAUUCCACCACUCUGGGAAGCUGAAGCAGGAAGAUCACAAGCUUGAGUCCAGCCUGGGCAUUUUAGCAACUUAGUUAAACCCUGUUUCAAAAUUUAAAAGAAAAAAAAAAAAAUUAAAAGGGCUGGGAAUGUAGCUCAGUGCAAAGGCCCUAGGUUCAAUCCCCAAUACCACAGCGGGCUUGGUGGGGUGGCUGGAAGAAGAAGAAUCACAUGGAUUGGCAAACAGGAGGAGAAAAAAUAAAGGAAGAGUAAAUGAAUAUAAACCUGAGAAAAAUAAUUAAGAAAAAGUGUACAAAAAGUCACACAUUCAGAACGGAAAGGGAAGAAGAAAAUAUAGGAAAUGUAAGAAAACCGGAAAAAAACAACUUGAAGUCCAAAGCUACUGACUUAUAUUGAGAGGGCAGCUACCUAAGAGCUCAAGGGCAUAUAUUUAUAGAUAAUAUUUGUAGAUAAAGCCAAAACAAAUAUUAUUUUGCAAAAGAGCUAAAUUUCUACCUUGGCUACUGCUCUUAGCCCAAUAUACGCAGAUCUGGAAAAACACUUUCUGGCUGUUUUACACAGGAAAAAAAAUUGCCAUUGAAGGUUUAAGGGUUAUGCAUCAGAUCUGGUGGAGUUUCCAUCUU
Molecule: long non-coding RNA, 2240 nt
Organism: Chinchilla lanigera (long-tailed chinchilla)
Lineage: Eukaryota; Metazoa; Chordata; Mammalia; Rodentia; Chinchillidae
Source: Ensembl